RNAcentral lists this long non-coding RNA (651 nucleotides) under Physcomitrium patens. RNAcentral describes it as "long non-coding RNA (PPAT_LNC001230)". Lineage: Eukaryota; Viridiplantae; Streptophyta; Bryopsida; Funariales; Funariaceae. The record is from RNAcentral.
UUGAUUAGGAUUUGAUUUAGGUUUAAGAUUUAAGAUUUGAUUAGGAUUUGAUUUAAGAUUAGGAUUUGGUUUAAGAUUUAGGGUUUGAUUAGGGUUUGAUUUAGAAUUAGAGUUUGAUUAGGAUUUGAUUUAGGAUUAGAAUUUGAUUAGAAUUUGAUUUAGGAUUUAGGAUUAGGAUUAGGAUUUGAUUAGGAUUUGAUUUAGGAUUAGAAUUUAGAAUUUGGUUAAGAUUUGAUUUGAGAUUAGAAUUUGGUUUAGAAUUUAGGAUUUAGGAUUUGGUUUAAGGUUUAGGAUUUGGUUUAGGAUUUAAGUUUUGGUUAGGAUUUGAUUAGAAUUUGAUUUAGGAUUUAGGAUUUUAUUUGAGUUUAUUUAAGAUUUAAGAUUUAGUUAGUUUUUGGCCUCAAGUUUGAAUGAAGUAAGAUUUCAAUUAGGAUUAAAUUAAGAUUGAAUUGAAAUGUAUUAGAGAUAUGUUUGUAAUCAUUCUAAUAUUUCUUUAAGAUUUCUUAUUGUUUCUUUUGAAUUCCUUUGAAGUUUCUCUAAAUUUGAUUAAAGCUUGUUUAGCAUUAUUAGUAUUUUAUUAGAAUUAAGAUUUUGUUGUUGCAAUUUCCAUUCUACCUUCUACAACCAAGUGCUCGAAGCAUUCUCAAGCAA